Small nuclear RNA from Sphaeramia orbicularis (orbiculate cardinalfish), 192 nucleotides. Its record names the gene U2. It matches the Rfam family "U2 spliceosomal RNA". Rfam says of the family: U2 is a small nuclear RNA (snRNA) component of the spliceosome (involved in pre-mRNA splicing). Complementary binding between U2 snRNA (in an area lying towards the 5' end but 3' to hairpin I) and the branchpoint sequence (BPS) of the intron results the bulging out of an unpaired adenosine, on the BPS, which initiates a nucleophilic attack at the intronic 5' splice site, thus starting the first of two transesterification reactions that mediate splicing. The record is from Ensembl. Lineage: Eukaryota; Metazoa; Chordata; Actinopteri; Kurtiformes; Apogonidae.
AUCGCUUCUCGGCCUUUGGCUAAGAUCAAGUGUAGUAUCUGUUCUUAUCAGUUUAAUAUCUGAUACGUCCCCUACCUGGGGACCAUAUAUUAAGUUGCUUUUUGGAUCAGGGAGCUGGAAGUAGGGGCUUGCUCCAUCCACUCCAUGCAUCAGACCUGGUAUUGUAGUGCUUCCAGGAGCGGUGCAACACUU